UCCUUUCUCUCAGCCUUUCAUCUCCCCGUUCCUUUCUCACAGCCAUUAACAUUGUUGAUUGUUAAAAUUUGCAGGUCAAGAUUCAGCCACAAAAAGGAAACCCUAGUUUAGAAUCAAUCAAUUAUAGCUUGAUUUGUGGUUGUUGUUGUUUAUAUAAUCAAUUUGACCUAAAACGACGAUGGUGAUUGGUUAAGAAGAUAGUUACAAUUGAUUCUGGAUUUCUGGUGAUGAUAAAUAUCAUGGUUUGUCUUCUUCGUUAAUGGGAUGAAAUUACAGGUAUUGAAACAAGAUGCUGUUGCUGGUGGAAGAGAUCAAUGUGUUUGAUUGCUCGAUUUGAAGAAUUAAACCUAGGGUUUCUAGGUUGAAGUUUGUUUGAAUAAAAUCUUAGGGUUUCUGAGGCUGAGUGUGAGCUGAGAAGAUGGUGGUUCUGCAACGGGUUUCUGGUAUUUGGUAGUGAAGAAUUAAAGGGUUUUUAGUUGAAUGAGGAAGGUGGUUGAUUUAGGGUAUGCUUCAGAAAUGGGAUUUGAUGUUGUGUUAUGGAAGAAGAGAAAUUAGAAUAUAUAUUGUUGCCGUGAAGAUUCAAGUCAAAUGAAGUGAUUGAAGCCAGAAUUAAAGGGGUUGAGCUGUUAGUUAUUGUUGCUGGUGAUUUUAGGGAUGGAGUUAUACAGGGAUAUGUGGUGUUGCUGUUGGUGUUUGAACUCAGGCUUGACAAGAGAAAGUUCUAUGUUGUAGGAGCUAGGAUUUUUACUAGGGUUACAGUGGCGUUAUACCCGGUCUCUGUUGUAAAGACAAGGCUGCAAGUUUCUACAAAAGAUUCUGUGGAGAAAAGUGCAUUUUUCUGUUGUCAGAGGUUCACUCAAAAGUGCAAGUUUAGUGUCCAUUCUUGCUCCAGAAGCUAAUAUUGUAACUUGCUUCUGCUAUCCACUCUGAUUUAGGGCCUUAUGUAAAUUGACAUAUCAGAAAGUCACAACUUUAGAAGAAAUGAAAAUUAUGGUCUUUUGAGAAGAACGGGAAGAGAGAAAACCUAAAUUCAUCAGCAAGAACUGAUGAAUUCCUUGCUUCUAGUUUCAAAUAAGAAAUGGGUUAAAUCGGAUUUACUUAGUGAAGCUACUCACUAUCUCUUUAUACAACACCCUUAUCUUUCCUCUGAAACCCUAGCCUUGUAUGAAAAACCCUGAUAUUUGUAAAUCCUUUGUUUCUCAAUAACUAUGUGGUUUAUUACUCGUCUUCAAACCCUAAUUUCUUAUCACACAUGGAAGAGAAUUCAAUUACUCAUUCAGGUCCUGUUGGCGAAGACAUGUUUCUCUGGCAAGCAACAAUAAUGGGUCCCCAAGACAGUCCAUACGCUGGAGGAAUCCAGAUUAUCCAUUUAAGCCACCAAAGGUUGUUGCAGGGGAGCCAUCUAAAUGACAUUGAUUAGACUGUGAAGUGCUGAGAACUUGGGGUUGCAAAACAUCUAAGCGUAUUAUAGUAGUGCAGUCAUUUAUGUUAGUAUCUCUCCUUCAGCUCACAUCAAGCUUGGAUAUGAUCAUGUUCUCCAAUGUAAACGAAGUUAACUCACUUAUCCAACCAUUUCGAAUAUGAGAUACUAAGAAGUUAUUUAUUUCCCACUUUUGAAUGUAAAGCCAACCUUUUCUUGCGAAUUUUCUGUUAUAUUGAUCAAAUAGGGCACUCUUGCAAUGGCAGUGAUGUUCUGAGUGUUUUUAAUAGUAAUGGUAGUGCAGUUGAUGGCUAACGACUCUAGUGAGUGAUGCUACUGUUGUCUUAUCCAAACUGCCGUAUGGUAUCUUAUAGGCACCUUCAAGUAUGCCAUUUUGACCAAGCUGAAUGUGCUGAUCUUGAGUAAGCUGUAUAGGAUGCCCUAGUUACUUGGAUCAUCCUCCUGUUGAGAAGGAAGUAGUGGAUAUUCUUAUUUGUAUGAACCUCUUUGAAGGAAGGAGUCAUAACAAGUCCAUGGAUUACUCACUUUGACUACAUUGCAUUCUACUAGGCAUUUAUAUAUUUUCCGUGGUUUAUAAUUCAUUUUGAAUAUAUGAGGAUUUGUUGGUCAUCCAGUGUUUGAACAUAAAUAAUGAGUCCAUGGAUUACUUAAAUAAUGAGUCCAUGGAUUACUUAACUUGGUGAACUGACACCAACUUAAGUAAUAGAAACAAUUAUAACAAUGCAUUCUAUGAAGGAAGUUGUUUUAUGGCUCACGUGUUUUUGUUCACUGAAUAUAUGGGGAUUAGUUGGUCAGCUUCAUUAGGAUCAAGAGCUUACACCGUUCAAAGGUGAACGUAGAUUGGUAUAUCUUUUUCCCGAAUUAAAUAGUUGAAGUAAGGUGCCAUAGCAUGCAUACAUAAUAGAGAGUAAUUGUAGAAUGUUUUCCAACAACCUUGUGUUUUAAGAAUGUUGUUUUAUUUAAGGUUUUGAGAGUCCAAUGUUGUUUCGUGUUGGCUUAAAAGUUGAGAAGUAAAGAUUAAAGUGUGUUUGGAUUUUAAAAGACCUCUUUUCAUGUUUUGGCAAGUUUGUGACCAACAGAAUAAGUUGUGAACUGAUUUUCAAGUAGCAGAAUUUUCAGUAAUCCUUGUCCCUUUUGCUAACUCGCUUUUAUUUGAUUUCAGUAUGAGGGAAAUACCUACGAGAGCCUACCUCUUUGCCCCUUUUCCUAUGGACAUAGUCAAGCAAUGGAUUUCAUACAUGUUGAAUGAGGUUCAAUCUCUUGAGGAAACUUGUGAAUGCUAUAGUACUUCAAUGGUACAUCAACGAAGGACUGGAGAAGUGCAGGAUUUGAGUGAGUUUGUAUAAUAAAAGAGAAUAAUUUGCAUUUGCUUCUGGAUACUGGACACUAAAUUGCAGAUUGAAAAAUAGGAAAUUGUAGGCCUGUGUUUCAGGUUUAAUUGUGAAGGCCUGUAAAUUGGAAGCCAGGUCCAUGAAAAUGAUCUGGACUACCCUUUUUUUUAUUGUAACUGAACGAUUGUCACAGAGAUAACUGCAACAAAAUUUGUGGAGUAAAAAAACACGUGUCAUCA
Long non-coding RNA from Papaver somniferum (opium poppy), 3011 nucleotides. RefSeq lists it as uncharacterized. Lineage: Eukaryota; Viridiplantae; Streptophyta; Magnoliopsida; Ranunculales; Papaveraceae. The transcript is spliced from 10 exons. The record is from RefSeq and is a predicted model, not a curated record.